CCCGCUGAGUUUAAGCAUAUAAAUAAGCGGAGGAGAAGAAACUUACGAGGAUUCCCUUAGUAACGGCGAGCGAACCGGGAUCAGCCCAGCUUGAGAAUCGGGCGGCUACGUCGUCUGAAUUGUAGUCUGGAGAAGCGUUCAUAGCGACGGACCGGGCCCAAGUCCCCUGGAAAGGGGCGCCGGGGAGGGUGAGAGCCCCGUCCAUGUAAUAUCCCUCACUUUUAAAAAUUAUUAAUAAAGAUUUAUUUAUAAAUCGGAGGACCUAUAUGUAAAUAUAGAAAUUUCAAAGACUAAACUAUUAACUUACAAAAAAAAAAUAAAACCGAAAGU
Molecule: ribosomal RNA, 330 nt
Filed under: Musa acuminata subsp. malaccensis (wild Malaysian banana)
Lineage: Eukaryota; Viridiplantae; Streptophyta; Magnoliopsida; Zingiberales; Musaceae
Description: Eukaryotic large subunit ribosomal RNA
Rfam family: Eukaryotic large subunit ribosomal RNA
Source: Rfam by way of RNAcentral